Molecule: ribosomal RNA, 483 nt
Filed under: uncultured bacterium
Lineage: Bacteria
Description: partial 16S ribosomal RNA
Rfam family: Bacterial small subunit ribosomal RNA
Source: RNAcentral
GACGAACGCUGGCGGCGUGCUUAACACAUGCAAGUCGAACGGUGAAAGCGGAGCUUGCUCCGCUGGAUCAGUGGCGAACGGGUGAGUAACACGUGGGCAACCUGCCCCUCACUUCGGGAUAACUCCGGGAAACCGGGGCUAAUACCGGAUAUGACCUCCUUGGGCAUCCUUGGAGGUGGAAAGUUUUUCGGUGAGGGAUGGGCCCGCGGCCUAUCAGCUUGUUGGUGAGGUAGUGGCUCACCAAGGCGACGACGGGUAGCCGGCCUGAGAGGGCGACCGGCCACACUGGGACGGGGACACGGCACAGACUCCGACGGGAGGCAGCAGUGGGGAAUAUUGCGCAAUGGGCGGAAGCCUGACGCAGCAACGCCGCGUGCGGGAUGACGGCCUUCGGGUUGUAAACCUCUUUUAGCAGGGAAGAAGCGAAAGUGACGGUACCUGCAGAAAAAGCACCGGCUAACUACGUGCCAGCCGCCGCCGUAA